AUUUACUGGUUCCGGGGGGACUCUAGAGAUUAGAGUUUGAUCCUGGCUCAGAUUGAACGCUGGCGGCAGGCCUAACACAUGCAAGUCGAGCGGCAGCACGGGAAGCUUGCUUCCUGGUGGCGAGCGGCGGACGGGUGAGUAAUGCAUAGAAAUCUGCCCGGUAGUGGGGGAUAACCUGGGGAAACCCAGGCUAAUACCGCAUACGUCCUACGGGAGAAAGCAGGGGAUCUUCGGACCUUGCGCUAUCGGAUGAGUCUAUGUCGGAUUAGCUUGUUGGUGAGGUAAUGGCUCACCAAGGCGACGAUCCGUAGCUGGUCUGAGAGGAUGAUCAGCCACAUCGGGACUGAGACACGGCCCGAACUCCUACGGGAGGCAGCAGUGGGGAAUAUUGGACAAUGGGCGAAAGCCUGAUCCAGCCAUGCCGCGUGUGUGAAGAAGGCCUUCGGGUUGUAAAGCACUUUCAGUGGGGAAGAAAGCCUUGGGGCUAAUACCCUCGAGGAAGGACAUCACCCACAGAAGAAGCACCGGCUAACUCCGUGCCAGCAGCCGCGGUAAUACGGAGGGUGCGAGCGUUAAUCGGAAUUACUGGGCGUAAAGCGCGCGUAGGCGGUCUGAUAAGCCGGUUGUGAAAGCCCCGGGCUCAACCUGGGAACGGCAUCCGGAACUGUCAGGCUAGAGUGCAGGAGAGGAAGGUAGAAUUCCCGGUGUAGCGGUGAAAUGCGUAGAGAUCGGGAGGAAUACCAGUGGCGAAGGCGGCCUUCUGGACUGACACUGACGCUGAGGUGCGAAAGCGUGGGUAGCAAACAGGAUUAGAUACCCUGGUAGUCCACGCCGUAAACGAUGUCGACUAGCCGUUGGGCUCCUUGAGAGCUUUGUGGCGCAGUUAACGCGAUAAGUCGACCGCCUGGGGAGUACGGCCGCAAGGUUAAAACUCAAAUGAAUUGACGGGGCCCGCACAAGCGGUGGAGCAUGUGGUUUAAUUCGAUGCAACGCGAAGAACCUUACCUACCCUUGACAUCGUGCGAACUUUCCAGAGAUGGAUUGGUGCCUUCGGACGCACAGACAGUGCUGCAUGCUGUCGUCAGCUCGUGUGUGAAUGUGGUUAAGUCCGUACGAGCGCACCCUUGUCUUAUUGCAGCGAGUCAUGUCGACCUCUAGGAAACUGCCGGUGACACGAGAGGUGGGACGCACGUCAGUCAUCAUGGCGUACGGUAAGCUUACACACGUGCUACAGGGUUUGCG
RNAcentral lists this ribosomal RNA (1242 nucleotides) under uncultured bacterium. RNAcentral describes it as "bacterial SSU rRNA". It matches the Rfam family "Bacterial small subunit ribosomal RNA", at positions 1 to 1238 of the family's 1533-position model. The record is from RNAcentral.